CCAUAAAUAAAGGAUAUAAUUAAACUCAAAAGUUUAAACAAUUAAUCUCCCAUUAAAGGGUUACAUCAUCUAAAAUAAAUCCCAGGUCAUCUAACCUUUAUUACAAUCAUUCGCGAAAAAUUAAAACAUGAUUAUAACUAAAUCCAUUACAUAAGCUUCAUAAAUAAAAUAUAAAUUAAACGUUGUCGUCUAAUCAAGCACUUUGUCCUUGCCCUUAUUUGUAUAAAGCUUUUCAAACUUCGU
This 243-nucleotide long non-coding RNA is filed under the name Panax ginseng (ginseng). RNAcentral describes it as "long non-coding RNA (PGIN_LNC016862)". The record is from RNAcentral. Lineage: Eukaryota; Viridiplantae; Streptophyta; Magnoliopsida; Apiales; Araliaceae.